UACAGAGGUCUCGAGCGUUAGGCGGAAUCACUGGGCUUAAAGCGUGUGUAGGCGGAUCGUUAAGUGCCUUGUGAAAUCCCACGGCUCAACCGUGGAACUGCUUGGCAUACUGGCGGUCUUGAGCAACCUAGGGGCGAGCGGAACAAAUGGUGGAGCGGUGAAAUGCGUAGAUAUCGUUUGGAACGCCAAUGGUGAAAACAGGUUGCUGGGGAUGUGCUGACGCUGAGACACGAAAGCCAGGGGAGCAAACGGG
This 253-nucleotide ribosomal RNA is filed under the name uncultured bacterium. RNAcentral's name for it is "partial 16S ribosomal RNA". It matches the Rfam family "Bacterial small subunit ribosomal RNA", at positions 524 to 776 of the family's 1533-position model. The record is from RNAcentral.